RNAcentral lists this unclassified non-coding RNA (304 nucleotides) under Hevea brasiliensis (rubber tree). Lineage: Eukaryota; Viridiplantae; Streptophyta; Magnoliopsida; Malpighiales; Euphorbiaceae. The record is from RNAcentral.
GGUAUCGAUUUUCCUACCAAGAAAGCCACCGGAAGGUUUAGCAAUGGCAAGAACGCCGCAGAUUUUCUUGGUCAGCGUUAGCUACUAAGCUUCCUGCAGCUGUUUCUUUCUUUCUUUCUUUCUUACCUCUAAAAAGCCUCAUAAUGCUCCAAAUCAUCCCCACCUUUUUUAGGCCAUUUUUCUCAUUAUUUGAUCUCUCAUUUCUUCAACUUUUGUUUAUUUUUGAUAAUAUUAUGGCUAAAAAUUCCAACUGGUAAACCUUGCAUAUGUGUUUGAGUUGCGUGUCUAAUUAGAACAUAUGUGA